AGUAAAAUAGUACGUGAAAUUGUUGAAAGGGAAACGAUUGAAGUCAGUCGUACCGACGAGAAAUCAGCCCUUCGAGUGCGAAGUUGUGGGCGUGCGUGAGUCUUUAACGGGCCUCGCUGUUUGCAAUUUUGUGCUUUUUGGGUGUACUUUUUCGUAUGGUAGGCCAACGUCAGUUUCGAUCACCGUAAAAUGAUCGGAGGAAUGUAGCUUCGAUCUCGUAUUGAAGUGUUAUAGCCUCUGGUAGAUGCGGUGACCGAAACUGAGGAUUGCAACGAAUACCCUUUUGGGCUAUCCGUCUGGCCUCUGAAAGUUGCUUAGGUGCCGAAAGCGUGCUUACGGCUAUUUAAGUUGACGGUCAACAGGUUAGAACGUGAUUACAUUCGUUAAGGACGUUGGCGUAAUGGCUUUAAA
Molecule: unclassified non-coding RNA, 411 nt
Filed under: uncultured Funneliformis
Lineage: Eukaryota; Fungi; Glomeromycota; Glomeromycetes; Glomerales; Glomeraceae
Description: sequence contains 28S rRNA gene
Source: RNAcentral